GUGAAUCAUCGAAUUUUUGAACGCAAAUUGCACUCUCUGGUAUUCCGGGGAGUAUGCCUGUUUGAGGGUCGUUAGUAUAAAAAAUCGAGGCGUCGCUCUUUUUUUUUUGGGUGUUCGUUUGGGAAUUGAGCAGUCUUUCAAAUGUUAAUUCAUGUCAAAGUGGCUUAAAAUUCAUCAAUCCGGUACGAUUAAAGCGUCUUUAAGAUAAAUUUUGAUUAAGAA
Molecule: unclassified non-coding RNA, 222 nt
Filed under: Funneliformis mosseae
Lineage: Eukaryota; Fungi; Glomeromycota; Glomeromycetes; Glomerales; Glomeraceae
Description: partial contains 5.8S ribosomal RNA and internal transcribed spacer 2
Rfam family: 5.8S ribosomal RNA (bases 1-71)
Source: RNAcentral